RNAcentral lists this transfer RNA (69 nucleotides) under Hypoponera sauteri. RNAcentral describes it as "tRNA-Leu". Lineage: Eukaryota; Metazoa; Arthropoda; Insecta; Hymenoptera; Formicidae. The record is from RNAcentral.
UUUAAUAUGGCAGAAUAAAGUGCUAUAGAUCUAAAAUCUAAAUAUAAAGUUAUUAAACUUUUAUUAAAA